GUAGUAUUCCCCCCAUCCGAAAAUUCUUGUCUUACAUUUGUUUAGAUACGGAUGUAUCUAACACUAAAAUGUAACUAGAUACAUCCGUAUUUAGACAAAUUUAAGACAAGAAUUUUGGGACGGAGGGAGUACAAA
This is a non-coding RNA of Triticum aestivum (bread wheat), 135 nucleotides long. NCBI's taxonomy places the organism in Eukaryota, Viridiplantae, Streptophyta, Magnoliopsida, Poales, Poaceae. The record is from Rfam.